This 301-nucleotide ribosomal RNA is filed under the name uncultured bacterium. Its description in RNAcentral is "partial 16S ribosomal RNA". It matches the Rfam family "Bacterial small subunit ribosomal RNA", at positions 509 to 807 of the family's 1533-position model. The record is from RNAcentral.
CAGCAGCCGCGGUAAUACCGAGGGUGCGAGCGUUAAUCGGAUUUACUGGGCGUAAAGCGUGCGUAGGCGGCUUUUUAAGUCGGAUGUGAAAUCCCUGAGCUUAACUUAGGAAUUGCAUUCGAUACUGGGAAGCUAGAGUAUGGGAGAGGAUGGUAGAAUUCCAGGUGUAGCGGUGAAAUGCGUAGAGAUCUGGAGGAAUACCGAUGGCGAAGGCAGCCAUCUGGCCUAAUACUGACGCUGAGGUACGAAAGCAUGGGGAGCAAACAGGAUUAGAUACCCCUGUAGUCCCUGUCUCUUAUAC